RNAcentral lists this ribosomal RNA (489 nucleotides) under uncultured Alphaproteobacteria bacterium. RNAcentral describes it as "bacterial SSU rRNA". It matches the Rfam family "Bacterial small subunit ribosomal RNA", at positions 67 to 602 of the family's 1533-position model. Lineage: Bacteria; Pseudomonadati; Pseudomonadota; Alphaproteobacteria. The record is from RNAcentral.
CGCAGUAGCAAUACUGAGUGGCAGACGGGUGAGUAACAUGUGGGAAUCUGCCUUGUGGCUCAGGACAACAUUGGGAAACCGAUGCUAAUACUGGAUAAGCCCUUACGGGGAAAGUUUUAAUGCCACAAGAUGAGCCCGCAUUUGAUUAGUUAGUUGGUGAGGUAAUGGCUCACCAAGACAAUGAUCAAUAGCUGAUCUGAGAGGAUGAUCAGCCACACUGGGACUGAGACACGGCCCAGACUCCUACGGGAGGCAGCAGUGGGGAAUCUUGCACAAUGGAGGAAACUCUGAUGCAGCGAUGCCGCGUGAGUGAAGAAGGCCUUUGGGUUGUAAAGCUCUUUUGUAGGGGAAGAUAAUGACUGUACCCUAAGAAUAAGGUCCGGCUAACUUCGUGCCAGCAGCCGCGGUAAUACGAAGGGACCUAGCGUAGUUCGGAAUUACUGGGCGUAAAGCGCGCGUAGGCCGUUGAGUUAGUUAAUUGUGAAAUCC